Molecule: long non-coding RNA, 1000 nt
Organism: Quercus robur (English oak)
Lineage: Eukaryota; Viridiplantae; Streptophyta; Magnoliopsida; Fagales; Fagaceae
Exons: 2
Source: RefSeq, a predicted model, not a curated record
ACCCAAAUCCAAUACAAUUGGGCAUGCGAUUUUGAAAUCCCUCUAGUUAGCGUUGUCCACUCUUACUUUUGUGAUUAGCCCCACUCGAUAGAUUACACAUCACUCAAAAUUCAUGUGUUACUUUGUGGACAAUGUUCGGCUGUAGUGUACCCAAAUGGGCAAAUUAAUCAUGGGUGGCUAACCACAGCUCAGUUUUUUUAUCAACAUUUUACAACUUUUAGGAAUCUGUCCUACUAUUGAAGAUAUGUCACAGCGAUAAUAGCAUGGAUGAGUAAUAAAAGGAACUAAAGCAACUUAUUUAGUCAUCCAGAAGGCAGUCAUUCACUCCACGUCCUCAUCUUCCUUGCUCUCACAUACAAAAACCUCACUCAAGGCACAGCAGAGUACUCUCAGCCACAAUUCACAUUCGCACACAUUAUCCGAAACCUAUAUCACGGCACACUACCAUCAUGAAUGACUGCCACAAACUCGAAAGUCACAUAACCAAACCACUACCUCACCUUCAACUUGAACACCACACCAGCAGGUAGCAACCAACACUCACAGGCAGUUCACUUCACUCGCCCAACUCCGAAAGUGAGAUCCAUUGUUAAAAGCCCACCCAAGUUUCAAGAAGAGUCCAAUAAUCCACACUGAUCCUGGUCCAAAUUCGAAACCCAGAAGCAGGCCCAAACCUAAUUCCCAACUUAAGGAAUGCAUGCAGGCUCAUAGUGGUGCCUAAUUCUGGCUGAAAGUUGGAACAACCUUGGUGAAAAUGGUCAACUAAUUUACUGUUAUUACUUGUCUUAGAUCUGUUUUGUCACUCUCAAAAAUUUGAUUGCUUUAACUUCUAAAUUAUCCAUUGUUUUUCAAAUAAAUAGUUUGCAAGUAUUGAAAGGCCACUACCUCCUUAAAUAUCCCUGCAGUACUAACUACUACGUUCCAUAUAUUAUUUAACUUCUUUUGAGGAGAAUUAUGGUUCGUCUAGACCAUUUGAGUAAUUCAAUCCUGCUUAAAGUCC